This 90-nucleotide transfer RNA is filed under the name Nitrospirales bacterium. RNAcentral's name for it is "tRNA-OTHER". It matches the Rfam family "tRNA". From Rfam's summary of the family: Transfer RNA (tRNA) molecules are approximately 80 nucleotides in length. Their secondary structure includes four short double-helical elements and three loops (D, anti-codon, and T loops). The record is from RNAcentral. Lineage: Bacteria; Pseudomonadati; Nitrospirota; Nitrospiria; Nitrospirales.
GGAGAGGUGCGAGAGUGGGACGAAUCGGCGUGACUGAAAUCACGUGUGCCGGUAACGGUACCGUGGGUUCGAAUCCCACCCUCUCCGCCA